Molecule: ribosomal RNA, 253 nt
Filed under: uncultured bacterium
Lineage: Bacteria
Description: partial 16S ribosomal RNA
Rfam family: Bacterial small subunit ribosomal RNA
Source: RNAcentral
GACGGAGGAGGCAAGCGUUAUCCGGAAUCACUGGGCGUAAAGCGCACGUAGGCGGUUUGACAAGUCGGGGGUUAAAGCCCGGAGCUCAACCCCGGAACUGCCCUGGAAACUGUCAGUCUUGAGUAAGGUAGGGGUGAGGGGAAUUCCCAGUGUAGCGGUGAAAUGCGUAGAUAUCGGGAAGAACACCAGCGGCGAAAGCGGGCAACUGGGCCAUUACUGACACUGAGGUGCGAAAGCUUGGGGAGCGAAUGGG